AUGAGUGAGAUCUCCCAUAUUGCAUCAUUUCAAUCUCAACAUAGUAACUAUGCAUGCCCCAUUAAAAUAAAUCCUAUCUGCACAUAUGGCAUAGAUGACGAGAUGAUGGUCAUUGGCUUUUGUUUCUCUUGCGAUGAUAUUGUUAUGCUUCCUUUGCAAAAUUUGUGCAAUUCAUCUCAUAUGCCAUACCAUGGAAAUUAUUGUGAAUCGCAGGAUUACAUCCCUUGUGUGCACCACAUGCAUACCAUUCCUCACAAUGCUCGAGAUAUUACGAGUGAUGCAUUACAUCCUUUGAAUCUCCAUUAUGCUAUACAUAACAAUAAACCUCUCAUGAUGGAUGACAUGUUUCUAUAUCAUGCAACUCAUUUAUUUGAGCAUUGGAUAUUUUGUGCUAACGAACACAAGCACGUGCGCAUCAUGAUGGAUGAUGUGUACAUCUACCACGCACACACAAUUUUCCCUUUGUUUUUGUUGUGUGUAGGUACUCACGUAUACUCGUCAACCUCUCAAUCCCAAGAGUUGACAAAACGAGCUCUUGAGAGCAACGACGAUUUGGGAUCCCGUGGAUUGUCCUUCCUACCAUUCUCUUCGCGCAACGACUACGCGCAUCUCUUCUACUUGGCUCUUACAAGGCUAUGGGCUAUAUAUCACUUGUUACUUUAUGCCCAUUGUAUCUUGUUCACUUUGCAUGUUAUGCCUCUUUACAUAAUUUUACCAUGCAAUUUUGACCCUUGCUUGCAUCUACCCAUGAUUCACCAUUAUGCUACUCCUAUGUGUAUUUGCAUGCAUGGUGGAGAUCCUUGUUGCUAUUGCCACGUUUAUCAUGUGCCUCAUGCUAUUGAUGCUUGUUGUGUUGGGAGAGUCAUGAUGUUCCAUUGCUAUUUACUUAGGACUUCUUGCCAAUAG
This 906-nucleotide ribosomal RNA is filed under the name Triticum aestivum (bread wheat). Its description in RNAcentral is "partial small subunit ribosomal RNA". The record is from RNAcentral. Lineage: Eukaryota; Viridiplantae; Streptophyta; Magnoliopsida; Poales; Poaceae.